UGAGUAACACGUAUGCAAUCCACCUGUAACAGGGGGAUAACCCGGAGAAAUCCGGACUAAUACCCCAUAAUAUGGGCGCUCCGCAUGGAGAGUCCAUUAAAGAGAGCAAUCUUGGUUACAGACGAGCAUGCGCUCCAUUAGCCAGUUGGCGGGGUAACGGCCCACCAAGACGAUGAUAGGUAGGGGUUCUGAGAGGAAGGUCCCCCACAUUGGAACUGAGACACGGUCCAA
This 231-nucleotide ribosomal RNA is filed under the name uncultured bacterium. RNAcentral describes it as "partial 16S ribosomal RNA". It matches the Rfam family "Bacterial small subunit ribosomal RNA", at positions 107 to 334 of the family's 1533-position model. The record is from RNAcentral.